RNAcentral lists this transfer RNA (74 nucleotides) under Pteropus alecto (black flying fox). It matches the Rfam family "tRNA". From Rfam's summary of the family: Transfer RNA (tRNA) molecules are approximately 80 nucleotides in length. Their secondary structure includes four short double-helical elements and three loops (D, anti-codon, and T loops). Lineage: Eukaryota; Metazoa; Chordata; Mammalia; Chiroptera; Pteropodidae. The record is from Rfam by way of RNAcentral.
GGCUCCAUAGUGUAGUAGUUAGCACAUCUGCUUUACACGCAGAAGGUCCUGGGUCCAUCCCCCAGAUGGAGCCA